Molecule: transfer RNA, 64 nt
Filed under: Prosopocoilus astacoides blanchardi
Lineage: Eukaryota; Metazoa; Arthropoda; Insecta; Coleoptera; Lucanidae
Also listed under: 1 other name
Description: tRNA-His
Rfam family: tRNA
About the family: Transfer RNA (tRNA) molecules are approximately 80 nucleotides in length. Their secondary structure includes four short double-helical elements and three loops (D, anti-codon, and T loops).
Source: RNAcentral
AUCUAGGUAGUUUAAUAUCAAAAUAUUGAUUUGUGGAAUCAAAGAUGUAGUUUUAUUCUAGAUA